This 108-nucleotide non-coding RNA is filed under the name Platyophrya macrostoma. The record is from RNAcentral. Lineage: Eukaryota; Ciliophora; Colpodea; Cyrtolophosidida; Platyophryidae.
AAAAUGAGGGAGCAAAUAAAAAACAAAACAAAAAACGUCACCGAAGCAAACAACUCGAUAAUACAAAUUCCGUAUAAAAACGUUUCUAUUUUUUUACUUUUUUCUUUU